RNAcentral lists this ribosomal RNA (440 nucleotides) under uncultured bacterium. RNAcentral describes it as "partial 16S ribosomal RNA". It matches the Rfam family "Bacterial small subunit ribosomal RNA", at positions 338 to 795 of the family's 1533-position model. The record is from RNAcentral.
CCUACGGGUGGCUGCAGUAGGGAAUAUUGCUCACUGGGGGAAACCCUGAAGCAGCAACGCCGCGUGGAGGAUGAAGGUUUUAGGAUUGUACACUCCUUUUGUUAGAGAAGAUUAUGACGGUAUCUAACGAAUAAGCACCGGCUAACUCCGUGCCAGCAGCCGCGGUAAUACGGAGGGUGCCAGCGUUACUCGGAAUCACUGGGGGUAAAGAGUGCGUAGGCGGGGUAAGAAGUCAGAUGUGAAAUCCUGUAGCUUAACUACAGAACUGCAUUUGAAACUGUUACUCUGGAGUGUGGGAGAGGUAGGUGGAAGUCUUGGUGUAGGGGUAAAAUCCGUAGAGAUCAAGAGGAAUACUCAUUGCGAAGGCGGCCUGCUGGACUGAAACUGACGUUGAGGCUCGAAAGCGUGGGGAGCAAACAGGAUUAGAUACCCCUGUAGUC